AGAUGCGAUGGGGAGCGUCUGGAAACAGACGCGAAGGGGCUGGCACUAAACUGUCGAGAAAAGCUUCUAGUGAGGAAUCAGGCACCCGUACCGAAACCGACACAGGUAGGCAGGAUGAGAAUUCUAAGGUGCGCGGGAAAACCCUCGUUAAGGAACUCGGCAAAAUGUAUCCGUAACUUCGGGAAAAGGAUAACCCGGCGUACGUGAAGUGCAGAAGCGCACGGAGCGGAACCGGGUGGCAGAAGAGAGGCCCAAGCGACUGUUUACCACAAACACAGGCGUCUGCUAAAGCGAAAGCUGAUGUAUAGAUGCUGACACCUGCCCGGUGCUGGAAGGUUAAGAGGAAGUGUUAGCGCAAGCGAAGCAGUGAAUUGAAGCCCCAGUAAACGGCGGCCGUAACUAUAACGGUCCUAAGGUAGCGAAAUUCCUUGUCGGGUAAGUUCCGACCCGCACGAAAGGUGUAACGAUUUGGGCACUGUCUCAACGAGGGACCCGGUGAAAUUGAAGUACCUGUGAAGAUGCAGGUUACCCGCGACUGGACAGAAAGACCCCAUGGAGCUUUACUGUAACCUGAGAUUGGAUUCCGGUAAGAGAUGUACAGGAUAGUUGGGAGACGUAGAAGCAAGUACGCCAGUAUUUGCAGAGUCAAUGGUGGGAUACCAACCUUGUUUUAUUGGAAUUCUAACGAGAAGCCUAACAAGCUUGCGGACAGUCUCAGGCGGGCAGUUUGACUGGGGCGGUCGCCUCCGAAAGAGUAACGGAGGCGCCCAAAGGUUCCCUCAGCGCGGACGGAAACCGCGCGAAGAGUGCAAAGGCAGAAGGGAGCUUGACUGCGAGACGGACAGGUCGAGCAGGGACGAAAGUCGGGCUUAGUGAUCCGGUGGUAGAGAGUGGAAUUGCCAUCGCUCAACGGAUAAAAGCUACCCUGGGGAUAACAGGCUUAUCUCUCCCAAGAGUCCAUAUCGACGGGGAGGUUUGGCACCUCGAUGUCGGCUCAUCACAUCCUGGGGCUGAAGUAGGUCCCAAGGGUUGGGCUGUUCGCCCAUUAAAGUGGUACGCGAGCUGGGUUCAGAACGUCGUGAGACAGUUCGGUCCCUAUCCAUCGCGGGCGGAAGAAACUUGAAAGGGGCUGCUCCUAGUACGAGAGGACCGGAGUGGACCGACCAAUGGUGUACCAGUCAUGGCGCCAGCCGUGCAGCUGGGUAGCUACGUCGGGGACGGAUAAACGCUGAAAGCAUCUAAGCGUGAAACCAGCCUAAAGAUGAGGUUUCUCAUUGUGAAAACAAGUAAGGUCCCACAAAGACGAUGUGGUUGAUAGGCCGGGAGUGGAAGUACAGCGAUGUAUGGAGCGGACCGGUACUAAUAGACCGAGGACUUGACU
RNAcentral lists this ribosomal RNA (1381 nucleotides) under Megasphaera sp. MJR8396C. RNAcentral describes it as "bacterial LSU rRNA". It matches the Rfam family "Bacterial large subunit ribosomal RNA", at positions 1559 to 2925 of the family's 2925-position model. The record is from RNAcentral. Lineage: Bacteria; Bacillati; Bacillota; Negativicutes; Veillonellales; Veillonellaceae.